Molecule: ribosomal RNA, 252 nt
Filed under: uncultured microorganism
Description: partial 16S ribosomal RNA
Rfam family: Bacterial small subunit ribosomal RNA
Source: RNAcentral
UACGUAGGGUGCGAGCGUUAAUCGGAUUUACUGGGCGUAAAGCGAGCGCAGGUGGUUUAAUAAGUCUGAUGUAAAAGGCAGUGGCUCAACCAUUGUGUGCAUUGGAAACUGUUAGACUUGAGUGCAGUAGAGGAGAGUGGAAUUCCAUGUGUAGCAGUGAAAUGCGUAGAUAUAUGGAGGAACAACGGUGGCGAAAGCGGCUCUCUGGACUGUAACUGACACUGAGGCUCGAAAGCGUGGGUAGCAAACAGG